RNAcentral lists this transfer RNA (77 nucleotides) under Flexibacter sp. CG_4_10_14_3_um_filter_32_15. RNAcentral's name for it is "tRNA-Met". It matches the Rfam family "tRNA". From Rfam's summary of the family: Transfer RNA (tRNA) molecules are approximately 80 nucleotides in length. Their secondary structure includes four short double-helical elements and three loops (D, anti-codon, and T loops). Lineage: Bacteria; Pseudomonadati; Bacteroidota; Cytophagia; Cytophagales; Flexibacteraceae. The record is from RNAcentral.
GGCGAGAUAGCUCAGUUGGUUAGAGCGCAGCACUCAUAAUGCUGAGGUCGAGAGUUCGAAUCUCUCUUUCGCUACUA